Molecule: unclassified non-coding RNA, 1141 nt
Filed under: Penaeus japonicus
Lineage: Eukaryota; Metazoa; Arthropoda; Malacostraca; Decapoda; Penaeidae
Description: uncharacterized LOC122255536, transcript variant X2
Source: RNAcentral
GGUUGUUUAUAAGUGGUGCCACUGACUAUUUAAUUCGAUGGAAGUCACUCAUACAUACAUACAAACAUGCAUUUCAUUGAACGGUGGAGAAACAUAUUUAGACGAGAUAACUUGAGCCUCCAUGAAAGCAUUCCGGAUCAGUAUCACGCUGCUCUCGUCCCAAGCCAGUCUGUUGACCAUCCCUGCUGUACUCUUCACUUCAUGACUGCAUGACUGUUGUGUGUUGGAGGUCAAAAAGUAAGAAUAGUUACCAUAUCUCUCACAACAAAGACGGAAGAUACGAGAUAGGUAAUCAGAGAUUAGAUGACGAGAUACCCAAUCAUUGACAGCCUCAGUCAUAUUACAUCAUCAUCCCGCUUCAGCUGUGGUUGAAGUCGAUCGCAUCACAGACCAAAACCAACACGAAACAAGGCCCUCGGCUGCGCAAAGAGGACUGCAGAGACGCGGGAAAUUCAAGGUCAAUAGAAAGGAACUUCUUGAAACACACACAGCAAUGUCAGAUUGUGAGGAUUGCUGUUGCUUUUGUGACGCGCCUGGGGAUAACAGCGAGUGUUGCGGCGAUGAGGAUAUGGACUGUGAUUGCUGUGGCUUUUGCGUGGACGUCGCCGAAGAAUCGGAAGGGAAAAGAAAACGGAAGAAUAAAAAGAAGAAAAAAGAGUUCGAUGAAGUCGUGACGUCACAACCGACGUCUUCGCAAAAUACAUGAAAGAAAAUGAAGAAUGAAAGAUAUGCAUGUUGAUCUAUGUUUUCAUUCAUUUAUGCAUAGGUUUACGUGUAGAUAUACAUAUGAAUGUAUGGAAUAUUACGUAGAUUUUAUUUGUGUUGGACGAGCUAGCCAAAAUCAGAUGUUUAGGUUAAGAUAAUGUAACUUAGCCCAAAGGAUAUAGUUAGAUAUAAAAAUGUUGCAUAUUAGCAUCCAUAAUGUACACUUUAAUUCCUUACAUUUACAGCUGAUAUUCAACCAAUCAAAAUUAAAACACUAUGAUACACAAUGCAACAGAGAGAAUUCACCCAAAGUUAAGGAAUUGACCAAAAUUCGUGUCAUGCAAAAAUUUCUUUUAUGUAGUAUUAUAGUUUUGAAAAACAGCAAAUAUACUAUUUACAAAUAUACUAUGCAUGCAUAUAUAUAUUUAUAAGGAUU